This 513-nucleotide ribosomal RNA is filed under the name uncultured bacterium. Its description in RNAcentral is "partial 16S ribosomal RNA". It matches the Rfam family "Bacterial small subunit ribosomal RNA", at positions 28 to 507 of the family's 1533-position model. The record is from RNAcentral.
GACGAACGCUGGCGGCGUGCUUAACACAUGCAAGUCGAACGAAAAGAGGGAAAGAGCUUGCUCUUUCCGGAAUUGAGUGGCAAACGGGUGAGUAACACGUAAACAACCUGCCUUCAGGAUGGGGACAACAGACGGAAACGACUGCUAAUACCGAAUAAGUUCCAAGGGCCGCAUGGCCCAUGGAAGAAAAGGUGGCCUCUACCUGUAAGCUAUCGCCUGAAGAGGGGUUUGCGUCUGAUUAGCUGGGUGGAGGGGUAACGGCCCACCAAGGCGACGAUCAGUAGCCGGUCGGAGAGGAUGAACGGCCACACUGGAAUUGAGACACGGUCCAGACUCCUACGGGAGGCAGCAGUGGGGAAUCUUCCGCAAUGGGCGAAAGCCUGACGGAGCAACGCCGCGUGAGUGAUGACGGCCUUCGGGUUGUAAAACUCUGUGAUCCGGGACGAAAAGGCAGAGUGCGAAGAACAAACUGCAUUGACGGUACCGGAAAAGCAAGCCACGGCUAACUACGUG